UGCUAGUCUGCUUUAUUCGAUAGUUCAAAAUCUAAUUUCGCGCAAAAUCAUUUCCGUUUUCUCUGUUAGUUUUGUGAAGCAAAACAGUUUUUUGCAUUUCAACAAAUGUUGAGCUCAUGGUGCUUGCAAUUUCCGCAAGAAAUGGCCUUGUCCUGGAGAGAGAAUUCCGCCUAAAAAUUGAAGCUUUCGUUCCCAGAAAAGACCUCAAAGGGCAAUCAGUCGCUAUUAUAGGAUUGGGAAAAUCUGGGAUUGCAGCGGCGAAACUUGCUCUUGCUAGAGGUGCUUCAGUUCUCGCCCUUGACCAGAAUGAGACGUUGAAACCACUGGAGUGUACUCUAACUGCAG
Molecule: long non-coding RNA, 345 nt
Organism: Salvia miltiorrhiza (redroot sage)
Lineage: Eukaryota; Viridiplantae; Streptophyta; Magnoliopsida; Lamiales; Lamiaceae
Exons: 3
Source: RefSeq, a predicted model, not a curated record